AGCGCACCGCCACGGAUAGGACACGUGCCAAGGACAACAGGUGUGAGGGAGCAGAUGUGGACCUCUGUCCCGCCCUGGCGGAGAAGGCUUUGGCUUUGCCCUGGGUGAUGCAGCCCAGCCAGCCCAUAGCCGCAGGGAGCCUCGAGGGCUCCUGACACCGGCGCCCGGGCCGCCCCGCCCGGAGCCCGGGCGGUUUCCGGGAAUGCGCCGCGGGCUCCGCGCCCCUCCUGGGCCUCGGCCAGGGUCGGGCUGGGGCGGAGCUGUGGCCUCGGGGCUCUGGGUUCCUGCCCGCACCACUGUGCUGCGGACCGCGGCGCCGCAGGGCAGCAGCGCCACCAACCCCUAGCCCCGGCGACGUACCGACGGCCCCGCGCUGCGCCUGAAGUGCCUGCCCCGCCGCUCCAGCAAGAGGUGCAGAGACCCUAGAGACUGAGCCCCAUCUGCGCCCCAGGACCGGAGAAAGCAGCCUCAUGGCGGAGCAGCUGGCCCUGGUGAUUGGGGGCAUUGUUGGAGGGCUGCUUCUACUGCUGUUGAUCGGGGUAAGUUGCUGUCUGUGGAGGAAGUUUUGUGCCACCUUCACCUAUGAGGAACUGCCAGAGACACCAGCCAUGGCCACCAGCGCUGCCUCCAGCAGACAGGGGGACAGGCUCUGCCAGCUGCAUACCAGGACCCAGCUGAGCAGGCCAUCAGGUGUGCCAUUCAUGGUACCCCCUUCCUUCCAAGGCCGAGACUGGGUGCCCCUGCAUAGCAAAGAGCUGUCCCAGGCCCCACAGGACCCCUGCCUGGCCCCAAAGCUCCUGCCUCAUAACGCCAGCAGCAAUCUUGGAGCUGCAUGUGUGAUGGGGACCAUCAACCCAGAGCUGUACAAGGUCCCAGAGGACACAAGUGAAACUGAUUUCCCUGAUGGCUGCCUGGGCCGGUUGUGGUUCUCUGUGGAAUACCAGCAGGAGGCUGAGCGGCUGCUGGUGGGCCUGAUCAAGGCACGGUUGCUGCAAGCGCCCUCUGAGACCUGCAGCCUCCUGGUGAAGCUCUGCCUGCUGCCUGAUGAGCGGCGCUUUCUCCAGUCUAAGACCAAACGCAAAACCUCCAGCCCGCAUUUUGACGAACACUUCAUCUUCCAGGUAUCCUGCAAGAGUGUUACCCAGAGGGUGCUGAAGUUCUCAGUGUACCAUGUGGACAGACAGAGGAAGCAUCAGCUCCUGGGCCAGGUGUUGUUCCCCCUGAAGAAUGAGAUCCUAGCAGGUGACUGCCACCAUAUCUUCUGGAGAGACCUAGAGGCUAAGAACCUGGAGCCCCCCUCGGAGUUUGGUGACCUCCAGUUCUGCCUCAGCUACAAUGACUACCUGAGCCGCCUGACUGUUGUCGUGCUUCGGGCCAAAGGCCUCCAGCUCCAAGAGGACAGAAGUGUUGUCAGUGUGUUCGUUAAAGUGUCCUUGAUGAACCAAAACAAGUUUGUCAAGUGCAAGAAGACUUCAGCUGUGCUGGGCUCUGUCAACCCUGUGUACAAUGAGACCUUCAGCUUCAAGGCAGAUGUCACCGAGCUGGACACCGCCAGCCUCAGCCUGACAGUGCUGCAGAACACUGAAGGGGACAGGAGCCACCUUCUGGGCCGCGUGGUGGUGGGCCCCUACAUGUACACACGUGGUAGAGAGCUGGAGCAUUGGGACGAGAUGCUCAGCAAGCCCAAGGAGCUGGUAAAGCGCUGGCACGCACUCUGUGGCCCCACUGAGCCCUGACCCAGCAUCUAGGACUGCAGUUCUGCUUUGGAAGCUCACUGUCCUCACAGUCUUAUGCAACAGCCACAAGCAAGGACAUUUCAUCCAACAUCUCACAGGGCCAUCCUGAGCCAGGAGUACCUGAGAGCUGAUAGGCAGGAGAAAAGAGGGGACAAGAAAGCUCUGCCCCCAGUCAGUGGCCAAUAGUGCAGCCUGCCCCUGCUCCCUGCAACUCACUCCACCCUACUUUACCUGUAGGGCUUCAUGGGCUUGGAAUCCAGGCUCCUGGUCAUCAUAAUCAUGAGGUGAUGUCAGGUGUCAGGUGUUCAGAAGAAAUAUUCUAUUUAGUGAUGGCAUAUCUGAAUGGAAGUGCAGGGUGGACUUGGGUUCCCACCAUCUUGAAAAGCUGAGAAUGUGUUGAUGCUAUACCUGCACUGCGUUUAAGAUGUGGUUUCUCUGCCUUCUGCCUAGACGAAAACACACUGCUCUGAGAGGCAUAACUGGGAGAAUGCUGUGAGCAGCCCACCCAGGUUCAAAAUGGUGGACAAGCUGUCAGAAAGGCAGCUAGGGGUCCUGAGACUGUAGGUACCAGCCACCCCCACAGUCCAAGGGUUUGAGCAAUUGGACAGGGAAAAGAAAUAAAAGGUGCCCACAAGAUAAGGAAGAAAUACAACAAUAUUUGCAGACAAUGUGUUCUUGUAUAUAGAAAAUCCUAAAGAAUGUGCAUGUAUGCACGUGCACAUGCACAUACAUACACUAUUAAAGCUAGUGAACAAGUUCAGCAGGUUGCAGGAUAGAAGAUCAAUAUACAAAAAGUAGAAUUUGUAGCAGAAUAGUGACACUGCAAGUAGUGAAGGUGAGCAUCCUUGUCUCAAUUUCAACCUCAGGGGGUAAAACUAUCAAAAUUCAUCAUUAAAUGGGUGGGGAUAUAGCUCAGUGGUAGAGCAUGUACCUAGCAUGUGCAGGGUCUGGGUUCAAUCCCCAGUACCAUGAAUGAAUUAAUUAAUUAAUAUUCAUCAUUAACCAUCAUGAUGGUUAUACAACUUUUAAUGUAGUCAUGAUCAUGUAGUCCCAACUUGUCUGAAAUUCUUUUUUAUCACAAGUAUUGUUAGAUUUUAUUAAAUACUUUUCUCUAUCUUUAAGAUAAUCAUAUUUUUCCUUUGUUCUUUUAAUGUGAGGAAUUAUAGUGAUUGAUUUUGGGAUCUCCAACCAAAUUUAAUAACAGAAACCAGCAAGGUGUGACAAUGUCACACACAAAAACAUGGCGUUUUUUAAACUGAAUUUAUUUUCAAUUAUAUUUUGAGGAAUUUUUAUAGUUAACAGUUAUGUUCAUGAGAGACUUAUCUAUAAUGUUUGUAUUGCAGUGGUCCUUGCACUUGCAUAUGUAUUCUAAAGCUAUUGUGUACAGGUGUACCAUGCAUUUCCAUUGGGUCAAAUUUGUUAAUCAUAUUGGUCAUAUCAUCUAUAUCCUUAUUGAUAUUUUUGUCCAUUUUGCUCACUAUUAUUGAGAGAGGUUAUAGCCCUUCAUUAUGAAUGUGGAUUUAUAUAUAUAUCUUUUUAGUUUCAUCAAUUUUUCUCUUAUGUAUUUUGAGACUGUGUCAUUGGGCUCAUGCCCAUUUAAAAUUGAUAUCUCUCUGGCAGAUCGAAACCUUUAUCAUUGUGAAAAACUCUACAAUUUGCAAUUAUAUCUUUUUUCCACUUCCUCCUAUUUUUUCAAAUUUGUUCUUAUAAAUUGUUAUGUUAUCUUAAAUACAGUUUUUAAAUCAAGUCUAUGAACCUCUACCUUUUGUGUACUUGGUGCAUUUACAUUUAAUGUAAUUGCUGAUAACUUUGUGUUCAUAUGUACCACCUUACUAUUUGUUUUAACUUGUACUACUUCUUUUAUGGUUUCUCUACCUCCUCCCCUCUCUUUCCUUUGUUACCUUAUUAUGGAUUAAUUCAGGUUUUUUAAAAAUUUUAUCUCCCCAUAUCUUUUAGUUGCUACUUACACAUUCUUUAAUUAUUCUUUUAGUGGUUGCCACAGAGAUUACAUUUUGUAUGUAUUAUCUGUUAUAGUCCAAUACACAUUUGACUUUUUAUCACUUGUUAGACAUGCUCUAAUCUCCACCUCUAUUUCCCUUUUUCUUGUGUGUAUGUUCAUUUAUCUGAUAGUAUUCAUUUUUAUAUUUUUACACCCAGUGAUAUUACUGUGUUCGACCACUAUUCAUUAAUAUUCAAGCACAUAUUUAUUCUUUCCAUUGCUUUUUAUUCUUUUCUGCAUUCCUGGAAUUCUAUCUUAGGUCAGUUUCCUUCCACCCUGAGAACCUCCUUUUAUAUUUCUUUCAGUGCAGAUAUGCUGGCAGCACAUUUUUUGUGAUUUUAAAUAGAAUUUUCUAUUGCAAAUUCUUUUUUUU
Sciurus carolinensis (gray squirrel) is the source of this 4108-nucleotide RNA transcript. It is a transcript of the gene named synaptotagmin-15-like, with no coding region annotated. NCBI's taxonomy places the organism in Eukaryota, Metazoa, Chordata, Mammalia, Rodentia, Sciuridae. The transcript has 10 exons. The record is from RefSeq and is a predicted model, not a curated record.